This 205-nucleotide microRNA precursor is filed under the name Leersia perrieri. RNAcentral describes it as "MIR812 microRNA precursor family". It matches the Rfam family "MIR812 microRNA precursor family". The record is from Rfam by way of RNAcentral. Lineage: Eukaryota; Viridiplantae; Streptophyta; Magnoliopsida; Poales; Poaceae.
AAUAUUUGACUCCGUUGAUUUUUUUACAUACGUUUAACCGUUCGUCUUAUUUAAAAAAUUUAUGUUAUUAUUAAUUCUUUUCCUAUCAUUUAAUACAUUGUUGAAUAUACUUUUUUUCAAACAUGUCAUUUUACAAAUUUCACAAAAUAUUUUGAAUAAGACGAACGAUUAAACGUGUGCUAAAAAGUUAACGGCAUCAAAUAUU